CCUACGGGUGGCAGCAGUGGGGGAUAUUGCACAAUGGGGGGAACCCUGAUGCAGCGACGCCGCGUGGGUGAAGAAGCGCCUCGGCGCGUAAAGCCCUGUCAGCAGGGAAGAAAAUGACGGUACCUGAAGAAGAAGCCCCGGCUCACUACGUGCCAGCAGCCGCGGUAAUCCGUAGGGGGCAAGCGUUAUCCGGAUUUACUGGGUGUAAAGGGGGCGCAGACGGCGAUGCAAGCCAGGAGUGAAAGCCCGGGGGCCAACCCCGGGACUGCUCUUGGAACUGCGUGGCUGGAGUGCAGGAGGGGCAGGCGGAAUUCCUGGUGUAGCGGUGAAAUGCGUAGAUAUCAGGAGGAACACCGGUGGCGAAGGCAGCCUGCUGGACUGCAACUGACGUUGAGGCCCGAAAGCGUGGGGAGCAAACAGGAUUAGAUACCCGGGUAGUC
This 440-nucleotide ribosomal RNA is filed under the name uncultured bacterium. RNAcentral describes it as "partial 16S ribosomal RNA". It matches the Rfam family "Bacterial small subunit ribosomal RNA", at positions 338 to 795 of the family's 1533-position model. The record is from RNAcentral.